This is a non-coding RNA of Vigna umbellata (rice bean), 232 nucleotides long. Lineage: Eukaryota; Viridiplantae; Streptophyta; Magnoliopsida; Fabales; Fabaceae. The record is from RefSeq and is a predicted model, not a curated record.
AAGAUUCUAAUAUAGUCUAACUUGGUUGGACACCUGACUAUCUCUUUUAUAAAAAGUUUUUCGGACAAAUCCUCAGGGUGCUGUUAAUUUUGCAUUAAUGAUGUUGCAAAUGGAGGGAGGUUGCCCAGUUGAUUACAACACCAUAACUGAUUUAUUUCUUCAGGUGUUUAUCUACUAUUAUUAAGUCCUUAUUGUGGUGAUUAGUAUCAUAAUAUUCGUGCUUCAUUAUGUU